This 2154-nucleotide ribosomal RNA is filed under the name marine metagenome. RNAcentral describes it as "bacterial LSU rRNA". It matches the Rfam family "Bacterial large subunit ribosomal RNA", at positions 512 to 2632 of the family's 2925-position model. The record is from RNAcentral.
AGGUGAAAAGAACCCCUGUUAGGGGAGUGAAAUAGAAUCUGAAACUGUCUGCCAACAAGCGGUAGGAGGGCUAUGUUUGAGUUUACUCAAAAAUGCCUGACUGCGUACCUUUUGCAUAAUGGGCCAGGGACUUAUCUUCAUUAGCAAGAUUAAGCCGAUAGGUGUAGUCGUAGCGAAAGCGAGUCUUAAUAGGGCGCUAGUUAAUGGAGUUAGACCCGAAGCGGGACGAUCUAGCCAUGGGCAGGGUGAAGCAUCAGGAAACUGAUGUGGAGGCCCGAACCAUUGAAGGGUGAAAACUUCUUGGAUGACCUGUGGUUAGGAGUGAAAGGCUAAUCAAGUUCCGUGAUAGCUGGUUCUCCCCGAAAUAUAUUUAGGUAUAGCCUCAUGCGUUCUCCUCUGGGGGUAGAGCACUGAUUGGACUAGGGGGUCGAAAGACUUACCAAACCCUAUCAAACUCCGAAUACCAGAGAUAGUAGCAUGGGAGUCAGUCUAUGGGUGCUAAGGUCCAUAGACGAGAGGGAAACAACCCAGAUCGCAAUCUAAGGUCCCCAAAUUUAGACUAAGUGGUUAAGGACGUGAGUUUUCAUAGACAGCCAGGAGGUAGGCUUAGAAGCAGCCAUCCUUUAAAGAUAGAGUAACAUCUCACUGGUCGAUGAGAAUUUGCACCGAAAAUGAAUCGGGGCUAAGUCUAAUACCGAAGAUGCGGAUUGUAUGUUUACAUACAGUGGUAGGGGAGCGUUCUUAAUGGAAUGAAGCAUUACCGUAAGGAGAUGUGGACUGUUAAGAAGUGAGAAUCCUGGCAUGAGUAGCGAUAAAAGUGGUGAGAAUCCACUUCACCGUAAGCGUAAGGGUUCCUGGGCAAGGCUCGUCCUCCCAGGGUUAGUCGGGACCUAAGGCGAGGCCGAAAGGCGUAGUCGAUGGAAAACAGGUUAAUAUUCCUGUACCACCUGUUAGGAGUGAUGGGGUGACGGAGAAGGAUAGAUCAUCCGUGUUUUGGAUUACACGGUUCAAGCUCGUAGGAUUAAGAAAUUGGCAAAUCCGUUUCUUUUAUAGUCUGAGAAGUGAGUACGAGAGGCCCUAGGCCUCAUAAAGUGAUUGAUUCCAUGCUUCCUAGAAAAACCUCUAAAUUUUGAUUAACAGGUGCUCGUACUGUAAACGGACACACGUACGCGGGUAGAGUAUACCAAGGUGUUUGAGAUAAUUAUGGCCAAGGAACUCGGCAAAAUAGCUCCGUAACUUCGGGAUAAGGAGUACCUAUAUUAAGUGAAGGAUCUUGCAUCUGGAGCUGAAAUAGGUGUCACUGAAAUGAUGGAAGCGACUGUUUACCAAAAACACAGGCCUGUGCUAACCCGCAAGGGGAUGUAUACGGGCUGACGCCUGCCCGGUGCUGGACGGUUAAGGGGAUGGGUUAUCCUUCGGGAGAAGCUUAGAACCGAAGCCCCAGUAAACGGCGGCCGUAACUAUAACGGUCCUAAGGUAGCGAAAUUCCUUGUCGUCUAAUUAGCGACCCGCAUGAAUGGCGUAACGACUUCUGUACUGUCUCGGCCAUAAUCUCAGCGAAAUUGUAGUGCUGGUGAAGAUGCCAGCUUCCCGUUGUGGGACGGAAAGACCCCGUGCACCUUUACUAUAACCUAGCACUGGAUUUUGAUGUUAAAUGCGUAGGAUAGGUGGGAGACUAUGAAAGUUCAAUUUUGGUUGGGCUGGAGUCGUUGGUGAAAUACCACCCUUUUGAUGUUAGGAUUCUAACUUUAAUCCGUUAUCCGGAUUGAGGACAAUGUUAGGCGGGUAGUUUGACUGGGGCGGUUGACUCCUAAAGAGUAACGGAGUCGCUCAAAGGUUCUCUCAGCCUGAUUGGAAACCAGGCGUCGAGUGUAAUGGCACAAGAGAGCUUGACUGUGAGAUUGACAAAUCGAGCAGGUACGAAAGUAGGACAUAGUGACCCGGUGGCUUCCAAGUGGGAGGGCCAUCGAUCAUCGGAUAAAAGGUACGCCGGGGAUAACAGAUUAAUCGCGCCCAAGAGUUCACAUCGACGGCGCGGAUUGAUACCUCGAUGUCGGCUCAUCGCAUCCCGGGGCUGUAGAAGGUCCCAAGGGUUGAGCUGUUCGCUCAUUAAAGCGGUACGCGAGCUGGGUUCAGAACGUCGUGAGACAGUUC